UACGGGGGGAGCAAGCGUUGUUCGGAUUUACUGGGCGUAAAGGGCGCGUAGGCGGCCAGUGCAAGUCAGUUGUGAAAUCUCCGAGCUUAACUCGGAAAGGUCAACUGAUACUGCUCGGCUAGAGUGCGGAAGGGGCAACUGGAAUUCUUGGUGUAGCGGUGAAAUGCGUAGAUAUCAAGAGGAACACCUGAGGCGAAGGCGGGUUGCUAGGCUGACACUGACGCUGAGUGCGCGAAAGCCAGGGGAGCAAACGGG
Molecule: ribosomal RNA, 255 nt
Filed under: uncultured bacterium
Lineage: Bacteria
Description: partial 16S ribosomal RNA
Rfam family: Bacterial small subunit ribosomal RNA
Source: RNAcentral